GAUGACCGAAACCCCUUUUCCCUUUUUAUGCAAUGAUUUCUCUGAAACCCUAUAACUCUUCAACUUCUCUAAAAUCAUCCAUUUUCUCAACUUAUCACUACUUCUUCCUUUAACUCUGCAGAUUCAGAUGGUCGACGUCUGACGGAAGCUUGUUGAAGUGAGAAAAGACAAUCUUACAGAUUGAAAGGAAGGCAGUUUACUUGGUAUAGACUAGUGCUUUCAGAUCACAAUUGUGACAUGGCUGCAAAACCAAUUGACGAUACCAUAUGGAGGGGUAGUUUCAUGAUCUCCCGUCCAGAGAUGAGAUUGAAUCUUACAGCCCAUCUAUCAAGUAAAGCGUGCGCAAAAGUAUGGCUGGCAGCUAAAGAGAUGGCGGAGGUGAUCUAUCCUGAAUUCCUUCCUAAGCGUGAUGUGUGGCCAAAGAGUUUUAAAAGUGCUAAACUGAUUGAUGAUAAUAUUGCCAUUUAUUUCUUUUCAGUUAAAGGCAGAGAUGAUCAAGUUUUUGAAAAUCUGCUGUAUAAUUUAAGACACUACGACAUUGCAUUAAGAGCUUUGGUUGGUGAUUCUGAACUCCUGAUUUUUACUUCUGCCCAUCUGCCAGAAAAGCAUCACAGAUUUGAGGGUAAAGUAUAUCUAUGGGGCGUCUUUAGUGGAAGACAAGCUCCUCCUCAAGAGUCUCCUGAUGAUUGUUUUAUUCAUAAUACCCGAGUGACACAAGCUUCAAUCCCAAAUUCAGCAAACGAUGGGAAGGAUAGAAGUUGCAAGGAAUUCUCCAAUAGGAAAGAUCCUUCAACUGCCUCAAAAUCAGCUAGAAAGGGAAGACCACUUGAUGACGCUUGGCAACAUGCUACUCCAGUAGAUGGAAAGAAGCAGAGGACAGUUUGCAAUUACUGCGGAUUUAUCUCUUCCUCUGGAGGCAUUACUUAUCUUAAGACACAUCUGGGUGGAGGUGAUCCGACGGGUUCACUGAAGGGUUGUCCAAAUGUACCACCAGAAGUCAAAAGGGUGAUGAAAGAAUGGUUACUAGGAACUAUAAGAGGGGGGAAGGCCCCACAGCUACAGGAAAUCAGGACUGACUUUGAAGUACCUGCAUCCAAAAAAUCAGUUAGAAGGGGAAGGCCACUUGAUGCUGCCUGGGAUUAUGCUACACCAGUUGAUGCAAAAAGACAGAGAGCAGUGUGCAAGUAUUGCGGUUUCAUAUCUUCUUCUGGAGGAAUUACACAUCUUAAGGCACAUUUGGCUGGAGGUGAUCCAAAAGGGCCCUCAAAAGGUUGUCCCAAUGUGCCGCCUGAAGUUAAAAGGGCAAUGGCAGAAUCGCUCAACAGAACAGUGAAAGGAGCGAAAUCCAUGCAGCCAGAUGAGAUCAGGAGGUACAUGAAAGCGGAAAAUGAUUGGUCUCCUCCCAGGUCAGAUGACUACUCGUUGAAUCAACAUAGAAUUGUCAAGAAUGCUCAGUACUCACAUUUUGCCAAUGGGAAUUCUGUUAAUGAUAUGACCCUGUCAAAGCAAUCAGAGACUGCACAUGUUGAUAGUUAUAUGGAGGUUAUGAGUUCUCACAAUGCUUGUAAGUCGAGCUUCUUAAGCAAACCUUCAACUCGAGUAG
This 1603-nucleotide unclassified non-coding RNA is filed under the name Hevea brasiliensis (rubber tree). The record is from RNAcentral. Lineage: Eukaryota; Viridiplantae; Streptophyta; Magnoliopsida; Malpighiales; Euphorbiaceae.